Molecule: ribosomal RNA, 344 nt
Filed under: Rhipicephalus turanicus
Lineage: Eukaryota; Metazoa; Arthropoda; Arachnida; Ixodida; Ixodidae
Description: partial 12S ribosomal RNA
Source: RNAcentral
AGCUAAAUGUUGUAAGUAAGUAAAAAUUAUGAAAGCAAAAAAUUAUGGCGGUAUUUUAAGCUUUUCAGAGGAAUUUGCUCUUUAAUGGAUAAAACACCUAAAUCUUACUUAAAUUUGUUAAUUCAAUUUGUAUACCACUAUAAAAACAAUUUAUAACUUUAAUUGUUUAAAUUUAUUAAAUUAAAAUAUAUUAAGUCAAGGUGCAGUAAAAAUUUAAGGAUGAAGUGAAUUACAUUACUCUUUAGAGAAACAAAUUUAAAAUAAUAUUUAGGAUUUGAAAGUAAAAUUAAAAUAGAAUGUUGGUUUGAAUUAAGCUCUAAAAUAUGUACAUAUCGCCCGUCACU